Molecule: ribosomal RNA, 796 nt
Filed under: uncultured bacterium
Lineage: Bacteria
Description: bacterial SSU rRNA
Rfam family: Bacterial small subunit ribosomal RNA
Source: RNAcentral
AGUCGAGGGGCAGCAUGGUCUUAGCUUGCUAAGGCCGAUGGCGACCGGCGCACGGGUGAGUAACACGUAUCCAACCUGCCGUCUACUCUUGGACAGCCUUCUGAAAGGAAGAUUAAUACAAGAUGGCAUCAUGAGUCCGCAUGUUCACAUGAUUAAAGGUAUUCCGGUAGACGAUGGGGAUGCGUUCCAUUAGAUAGUAGGCGGGGUAACGGCCCACCUAGUCUUCGAUGGAUAGGGGUUCUGAGAGGAAGGUCCCCCACAUUGGAACUGAGACACGGUCCAAACUCCUACGGGAGGCAGCAGUGAGGAAUAUUGGUCAAUGGGCGAGAGCCUGAACCAGCCAAGUAGCGUGAAGGAUGACUGCCCUAUGGGUUGUAAACUUCUUUUAUAAAGGAAUAAAGUCGGGUAUGGAUACCCGUUUGCAUGUACUUUAUGAAUAAGGAUCGGCUAACUCCGUGCCAGCAGCCGCGGUAAUACGGAGGAUCCGAGCGUUAUCCGGAUUUAUUGGGUUUAAAGGGAGCGUAGAUGGAUGUUUAAGUCAGUUGUGAAAGUUUGCGGCUCAACCGUAAAAUUGCAGUUGAUACUGGAUAUCUUGAGUGCAGUUGAGGCAGGCGGAAUUCGUGGUGUAGCGGUGAAAUGCUUAGAUAUCACGAAGAACUCCGAUUGCGAAGGCAGCCUGCUAAGCUGCAACUGACAUUGAGGCUCGAAAGUGUGGGUAUCAAACAGGAUUAGAUACCCUGGUAGUCCACACGGUAAACGAUGAAUACUCGCUGUUUGCGAUAUACAGCAAGCGGCC